AAAUUGAAGAGUUUGAUCAUGGCUCAGAUUGAACGCUGGCGGCAGGCCUAACACAUGCAAGUCGAACGGUAACAGGAAUCAGCUUGCUGAUUUGCUGACGAGUGGCGGACGGGUGAGU
RNAcentral lists this ribosomal RNA (118 nucleotides) under Escherichia coli. Its description in RNAcentral is "partial 16S ribosomal RNA". It matches the Rfam family "Bacterial small subunit ribosomal RNA", at positions 1 to 111 of the family's 1533-position model. The record is from RNAcentral. Lineage: Bacteria; Pseudomonadati; Pseudomonadota; Gammaproteobacteria; Enterobacterales; Enterobacteriaceae.